This is a non-coding RNA of Mycena maculata, 90 nucleotides long. The record is from the annotation of a GenBank genome assembly. Lineage: Eukaryota; Fungi; Basidiomycota; Agaricomycetes; Agaricales; Mycenaceae.
UCGGACGUGGUGUACGGCGCACACCCGUUAUAGUAAUCAGAGAUCUGCAGUAGAGAGAGGGAAGCCUGGGUUCGAUUCCCAGUGUCCGAA